AAAUGAUAAACCUAACUACAUCUUUCUACAUGGUCCUGAAAUCCUAUAUCCUAUGAUGUCCUUUGAGACUCUAUUUGUGGAGUGUAUCGAUGACGUCAAAAGGGAAAAUGCUAUUAAACUCAAAGGAGAGGAGAUUAUUGAAGCUAAACUGAUUACGAUGUUGUUGUUUGCAUUAUGGAGCCUUAAUUAACCAUAUGACAUAGUCUCUCGCUCUUCACUUAGAGAUUUCGGGUUCGAUUGCAACCGAUCAAAAAAAUCUUAGCUGUUGCUACAACCAUAAAUGUGUAGAUGUGUUAUGUGAUACUUAAAAUUGAGAAUUGUUCAAUCUAUCGAAGAAAAAAAAAAUAUGACAAAUACAUUUGUUUCAUUAUGAAAAUAAGACACAAUAAAAUAGUACCUGAUCUAAAAUUACUAUAUUUCCUAUGUUAAAAACAAAAGUAACGAAAAUUAUUACUGAUUUUUCACGUAAAAUUAUCAAGCGUAAAUUCUUAUCUUCAAACUUCAAUAUCAUGCCUUCUUAGGUCUCACAUUUUACAUGAAUAAUAAAAAAAUCACACAUGGUAAUCUUGUCAUGUGAAAAAUAAAUGAGAAAUUUUUUUGUACACUAAAAAACAAAUGUAUAAAUACACACAUUACACAAGAUGUUUCUUUUUACUUUUCUUUAUCGGUUAAGCAUUAAAAUGGGAGAAGCAAAAGCUUAAGCCUUCUU
Non-coding RNA from Arachis ipaensis, 709 nucleotides. NCBI's taxonomy places the organism in Eukaryota, Viridiplantae, Streptophyta, Magnoliopsida, Fabales, Fabaceae. The record is from RefSeq and is a predicted model, not a curated record.